This 508-nucleotide ribosomal RNA is filed under the name Pediococcus pentosaceus. Its description in RNAcentral is "bacterial SSU rRNA". It matches the Rfam family "Bacterial small subunit ribosomal RNA", at positions 51 to 516 of the family's 1533-position model. Lineage: Bacteria; Bacillati; Bacillota; Bacilli; Lactobacillales; Lactobacillaceae. The record is from RNAcentral.
ANACNUGCAGUCGACGAACUUCCGUUAAUUGAUUAUGACGUACUUGUACUGAUUGAGAUUUUAACACGAAGUGAGUGGCGAACGGGUGAGUAACACGUGGGUAACCUGCCCAGAAGUAGGGGAUAACACCUGGAAACAGAUGCUAAUACCGUAUAACAGAGAAAACCGCAUGGUUUUCUUUUAAAAGAUGGCUCUGCUAUCACUUCUGGAUGGACCCGCGGCGUAUUAGCUAGUUGGUGAGGUAAAGGCUCACCAAGGCAGUGAUACGUAGCCGACCUGAGAGGGUAAUCGGCCACAUUGGGACUGAGACACGGCCCAGACUCCUACGGGAGGCAGCAGUAGGGAAUCUUCCACAAUGGACGCAAGUCUGAUGGAGCAACGCCGCGUGAGUGAAGAAGGGUUUCGGCUCGUAAAGCUCUGUUGUUAAAGAAGAACGUGGGUAAGAGUAACUGUUUACCCAGUGACGGUAUUUAACCAGAAAGCCACGGCUAACUACGUGCCAGCAGNC